CUAUUCCCAAGCGAUAGGGGGGGCUCUAUAGAGACACCUGCAAGCAAAAUGCGAGAAAACAGCAAAGAAAUGGCCAAAACGGCAUAGCGCCCCU
Long non-coding RNA from Etheostoma spectabile (orangethroat darter), 94 nucleotides. RefSeq lists it as uncharacterized. The transcript has 3 exons. NCBI's taxonomy places the organism in Eukaryota, Metazoa, Chordata, Actinopteri, Perciformes, Percidae. The record is from RefSeq and is a predicted model, not a curated record.